CACAGAUGAGGACACCGAGGUCCAGAGGCAGGGCAUCCUGUCCACCCUGGAUACUCCCUGUCAAUCAUCAGAGCGGCUCCCCUCAGCCCCUGCUCACCCCAUCCUGCCGUGUUUAUGAUGGCAGUGGUGGGAUCAUCCGGACCCCACCUCCCUGUGGGGGGGCUCACCCUGGCCUGAGGAAGGAGGGGCUGGGCCUCAGGCGCAGGGAAGAGGCCCUGGGACUGCCAUGUCCCAGGUCACACACCCCCAUCCCCGGGGCACAGAGGUUUCAUCUGGUUAUUUAUGGAGCCGCCACUCUGUGCCAGAGCCUGCCCAAGACACGGUUUCUGCCUUUGAAGACACGCAUGGGAAGAGUGACCUCCAGCCAAAUUGGACCCAGAAGAAGGGGUGGAUCCUGGAAGCUGGAGCAGAGGCGGCAUCGCCAAUCAGGAACCCAUGGGGGAGGGUCUCCAGGACCACCCAAGAGGCCCAACCUCAGCUCACAGCCGUGUCUAUCCAAGGAGACCUGGCGCCUCACCUCCCCUGCCAAAAUAAAACCUUCCUUGCUUCCCCGGGCAGGCCCAGCCCUGGAGGGGCAAGAGCAACACCCAGCAAGAGGGAGGGGACAGAGGAGAAACUGGAUGCACCCCUCCUCCCCUGACUCCUGGACUACACGGAGCUGAGCUGAGCUGAGCUGAGCUGAGCUGGCGGAGGAGGGAGCUCCAAAUUCUAACAGUCUCAAAUUUAAUAUAAGACUUGCCUGGACUUUGCAUUACCCAAAGUGCCUGGAAAAUGACGUGAAAUAGCUGCAGUUCCUUGCAAGGGGGGAGAGUGAAUCUGCCAGGCAGGAGUGAAGUAGGG
This 840-nucleotide long non-coding RNA is filed under the name Cercocebus atys (sooty mangabey). Its description in RNAcentral is "lncRNA (ENSCATG00000045525.1)". The record is from RNAcentral. Lineage: Eukaryota; Metazoa; Chordata; Mammalia; Primates; Cercopithecidae.